UGGGGAAUAUUGGGCAAUGGGCGCAAGCCUGACCCAGCAACGCCGCGUGAGGGAAGAAGGCUUUCGGGUUGUAAACCUCUGUCCUUGGUGACGAAAAAAAUGACGGUAGCCAAGGAGGAAGCCCCGGCUAACUACGUGCCAGCAAGCCGCGGUAAUACGUAGGGGGCGAGCGUUGUCCGGAAGUACUGGGCGUAAAGGGUGCGUAGGCGGCCUAUUAAGUUGGAUGUGAAAUACCCGGGCUUAACUGGGGGGUUGCAUCCGAUACUGGCAGGCUAGAGUGCAGGAGAGGGAAGCGGAAUUCCUAGUGUAGCGGUGAAAUGCGUAGAUAUUAGGAGGAACACCGAGUGGCGAAGGCGGCUUUCUGGGACUGUAACUGACGCUGAGGCACGAAAGCGUGGGG
RNAcentral lists this ribosomal RNA (400 nucleotides) under uncultured bacterium. RNAcentral describes it as "bacterial SSU rRNA". It matches the Rfam family "Bacterial small subunit ribosomal RNA", at positions 355 to 766 of the family's 1533-position model. The record is from RNAcentral.